GACGAACGCUGGCGGCGUGCUUAACACAUGCAAGUCGUACGGUAAGGCCCUUUCGGGGGUACACGAGUGGCGAACGGGUGAGUAACACGUGAGUAACCUGCCCACAACUUUGGGAUAACGCUUGGAAACUGGUGCUAAUACUGGCUAUGUGCUCCUGCUGCAUGGUGGGGGUUGGUAAGCUCCGGCGGUUGUGGAUGGGAUUGCGGCCUAUUAGCUUGUUGGUGGGGUAGUGGUCUACCAAGGCGGCGACGGGUAGUAGGCCUGGGAGGGUGACCGGCCACAAUGGGACUGGGAGACGGCCCAGGCUCCUACGGGAGGCAGCAGGGGGGAAUAUUGCACAAGGGGCGCAAGCCGGAUGCAGCAACGCCGCGUGCGGGAUGACGGGCUUCGGGUUGGAAACCGCUUUCAGCAGGGACGAAGCUUUUUGUGACGGUACCUGCAGAAGAAGCACCGGCUAACUACGUG
RNAcentral lists this ribosomal RNA (465 nucleotides) under uncultured bacterium. RNAcentral describes it as "partial 16S ribosomal RNA". It matches the Rfam family "Bacterial small subunit ribosomal RNA", at positions 28 to 507 of the family's 1533-position model. The record is from RNAcentral.